CCUAAACCCCUCCCCUCCCCCAAACCCAAAUCUUCCUUCAUAUACUUUUCCUUUCGUCUUCCUCGUUUAUACCCAUUCAUUCAUAUCCCCCUGCCCUUUCAUCUUCCUUCUUUUUACACACACAGACAGGCAGAGUACUUACGAUUAUAUAAAGGGGACAGUUUUGUAAUAUGUUUGUUAAAUAGAAGAAGAUGCAAAUGAUGUACGAAAUUGAUCAUCAAAAGAGCAGUAGUACUGAUCAUAUCUUAUUUGAAGCGAAGUUUAUUACUGAUGAUAAUCUUUCGACGUAUUUGAGCUCAAGGGCAAUCUUUAUAAUGGUGUUAUUAACUAUUUCACUUCUUGUUUUGCCGUUGGUUCUGCCGCCACUUCCGCCGCCGCCAUUAAUGCUUCUCUUUAUCCCAGUUUUGCUAAUGGUUUUGCUUGUUUUUUUAGCUUUUACUCCUUCUCAAUUGCCCAAUGUGGGUAUUACUUAAUUCUUUGUAAACAAACUAAUUAUUCCCCUUAACUGUGCAUGCAAUUGCAAAUAUAUAGAACCGAAAGUAAUUUUGGCUUGGACAUUUUUUCUGGUUUUCAAGGUAGCUAUUCAUUGUUUUGAUGAUAAGCAUAAUUUUUAUCGAUUCAUUCACAGAAAAUUACAAAUUAAUUUCUUUUUGCGUGUAAAAUUAUAUUUCUUUGGCGUAUACAUAAAUUAAGUUAUAUUCUUGUCACACCGACGUGUAUAUUCUUUUGGCUUUUAUGAAGCAAAGGAGGUGAACCUGGAUUCUGAUGAUGAAUUAAGUGUUGAUUUUUGCUGUUGUAUAGUUAAACGUUAAAAGCCUGCAGUGAUGUAAGUUCCAAAUAAGAAAAGAAAAUUGAGAAAUUGAAGUUACAUCAGAAUUUUCGUGGUGAACUGAAUAAAACUUACUGUAUAAGGAAAACUUAGUUUGAACUAAUUUCUUCGGAGAAUAUAUGGAAGGAUUUGCUGUAAGAAUCAGAACUUGACUAUUCUAGUUAUUAUCGUUCACACAUAAUUAAAGAAAUUUUAAAAAAUGGUACAAUUUUGGGCAGAUUUUUUAAUUUACUUAGUGAGUUCUACCCUUUAAAAUUGGUAACGUUAAAUUCAUUGUAUUGAACUCACUCUUUCAAUGUAGAUUUUGUCUAGCUUCAAAAAUAGUUCUCUCAUCUGAUGAAUCUAGUAUUUAAUAUGAGUAAAAUAUAGAAGAGUAAAAUUUUUAUUCCAU
This 1220-nucleotide long non-coding RNA is filed under the name Nicotiana benthamiana. Its description in RNAcentral is "long non-coding RNA (NBEN_LNC004547)". The record is from RNAcentral. Lineage: Eukaryota; Viridiplantae; Streptophyta; Magnoliopsida; Solanales; Solanaceae.